GAUGAACGCUGGCGGCGCGCCUAAUACAUGCAAGUCGAGCGAACAGACGAGGAGCUUGCUCCUCUGACGUUAGCGGCGGACGGGUGAGUAACACGUGGAUAACCUACCUAUAAGACUGGGAUAACUUCGGGAAACCGGAGCUAAUACCGGAUAAUAUAUUGAACCGCAUGGUUCAAUAGUGAAAGACGGUUUUGCUGUCACUUAUAGAUGGAUCCGCGCCGCAUUAGCUAGUUGGUAAGGUAACGGCUUACCAAGGCGACGAUGCGUAGCCGACCUGAGAGGGUGAUCGGCCACACUGGAACUGAGACACGGUCCAGACUCCCACGGGAGGCAGCAGUAGGGAAUCUUCCGCAAAGGGCGAAAGCCUGACGGAGCAACGCCGCGUGAGUGAUGAAGGUCUUCGGAUCGUAAAACUCUGUUAUUAGGGAAGAACAAAUGUGUAAGUAACUAUGCACGUCUUGACGGUACCUAAUCAGAAAGCCACGGCUAACUACGUG
Molecule: ribosomal RNA, 497 nt
Filed under: uncultured bacterium
Lineage: Bacteria
Description: partial 16S ribosomal RNA
Rfam family: Bacterial small subunit ribosomal RNA
Source: RNAcentral